Molecule: long non-coding RNA, 3897 nt
Organism: Sinocyclocheilus grahami
Lineage: Eukaryota; Metazoa; Chordata; Actinopteri; Cypriniformes; Cyprinidae
Product: clathrin heavy chain 1-like
Source: Ensembl
AUGGAGGACUGUUUCCUGAUCCUGGUAGAAGACUGUAAGUACGUUUUCAUAUUUAAAGGAUUUGCCACUGAUGAUUCAGACGUGAGUUUUGAGCAGUGUAGAGUAGUGCUUGUUUGUCAUUUCUCUGAUCACAAAUGCAGACAUGGUUUUAAUCCGGCUAGCAUCAGCUUCAGCUGCCUGACCAUGGAGUCGGACCGCUUCAUCUGCAUCCGAGAGAAGGUGGGCGAGCAGAACCAAGUGCUGAUUGUGGACCUGAGCGACCCGAGCAGCCCGAUCCGCCGGCCGAUCACGGCAGACAGCGCCAUCAUGAACCCGGCCAGCAAAGUCAUCGCUCUGAAAGCGGCGCGGACGCUGCAGAUCUUUAACAUGGAGAUGAAGAGUAAAGUCAAGGCUCACACCAUGACGGACGAAGUGCUGUUCUGGAGGUGGAUCUCGGUUAACACCAUCGCCCUGGUUACGGACACGGCCGUCUAUCAUUGGAGCAUGGAGGGAGACUCUCAGCCAAUCAAUAUGUUUGAUCGUCACGCCAGCCUCGCGGGAUGCCAGAUCAUCAACUACAGAACGGACGAGCAGCAGAAGUGGCUCCUGCUCAUUGGGAUAUCAGCGCAGCAGAAUCGUGUGGUCGGUGCCAUGCAGUUGUUCUCUGUGGACCGUAAGGUUUCUCAGCCCAUCGAGGGUCACGCGGCUGCGUUUGGACAUUAUAAACUGGAGGGAAACCCAAACGCUUCCACGCUCUUCUGCUUCGGCGUCAGAGGGCAGGCUGGAGGAAAGCUGCACAUCAUCGAGGUCGGUCAGCCUCAGACCGGUAACCAGCCGUUCACUAAGAAAGCAGUGGACGUGUUUUUCCCUCCUGAAGCACAGGCGGACUUUCCUGUGGCCAUGCAGAUCGGAACUAAGCACGGCGUCAUCUACCUCAUCACUAAAUACGGUUACUUUCACAUGUAUGAUCUGGAGUCGGGCGUGUGUAUUUACAUGAACCGCAUCAGCGCUGAAACCAUAUUCGUCACGGCUGCUCACGAGAGCACAUCUGGGGUCAUCGGGGUCAAUAAGAAAGGACAGGUGCUGUCGGUGUGUGUGGAGGAGGAGAACGUAGUAAAUUACGUGACUAACGUGCUGCAGAAUCCCGAGCUGGCGUUGCGUUUGGCAUUACGCAGCGAUCUUCCCGGAGCCGAGGAGCUCCUGACACACAAGUUCAACACGCUCUUCUCUCAGGGCAGCUACACCGAAGCGGCUAAAGUCGCUGCGUCGGCUCCCAAGGGUGUGUUGCGAACGGCAGAGACGGUCCGGCGGUUCCAGGCCGUCCCGGCGCAGGGGGGCCAGCCGUCUCCGCUGCUGCAGUAUUUCGGGGUUCUGCUGGACCGCGGGCAGCUCAAUAAGCUGGAGUCGUUGGAGCUCUGCAGGCCGGUGCUGCAGCAGGGACGAACACAGCUGCUGGAGAAAUGGCUCAAGGGAGAGAAGCUGGAGUGCUCGGAGGAGUUGGGUGAUCUGGUGAAGGCGGCUGACGUCACUCUGGCCCUCAGCGUUUACCUGCGAGCGAAUGUUCCUGCUAAAGUCAUCCAGUGCUUUGCUGAGACGGCUCAGUUCCAGAAGAUAGUGCUCUAUGCUAAGAAGAUGGGGUAUUCUCCAGACUGGGUGAUGCUGUUGAGGAGUGUGAUGAGAUCCGGUCCUGAUCAGGGCCUUCAGUUCGCUCAGAUGCUGGUUCAGGAUGAAGAGCCGCUCGUCAACAUCAGCCAGGUGGUGGAUGUCUUCAUGGAGGGGAAUCUAGUGCAGCAGUGUACUUCAUUCCUAUUGGACGCUCUGAAGAACAACAGGCCGGAGGAGGGGCCUCUGCAGACACGCCUCCUGGAGAUGAACCUCAUUCACGCCCCUCAGGUCGCAGACGCGAUCCUCGGGAAUCAGAUGUUCACUCACUACGAGCGCGCUCACAUCGCUCAGCUGUGUGAGAAAGCCGGUUUACUGCAGAGAGCUCUGGAGCAUUACAGCGACCCCGACGACGUCAAACGGGCCAUCGUACACACACACCUGCUCAACACCGAGUGGCUGGUGAAUUUCUUUGGCUCUCUGUCUGUCGGUGACUCCGUCGCGUGUCUGAGGGCCAUGUUGGCUGCAAACCUGCGUCAGAACCUGCAGCUGAGCGUUCAGAUCGCCACCAAGUACCACGAGCAGCUGGGAACGCAGACGCUGGUGGAGCUUUUCGAGUCGUUCAAGAGCUACGAGGGUCUGUUUUAUUUUCUGGGCUCUAUCGUGAACUUCAGUCAGGACCCCGAUGUGCACUUCAAGUACAUUCAGGCGGCGUGUAAGACGGGUCAGAUCAAAGAGGUGGAGCGCAUCUGUCGAGAGAGCAGCUGCUACAACGCCGAGCGCGUCAAGAACUUCCUCAAGGAAGCCAAACUCACCGAUCAGCUUCCUCUCAUCAUCGUGUGCGACCGCUUCGAUUUCGUCCACGACCUCGUGCUCUACUUGUACCGUAACAGCCUGCAGAAGUACAUCGAGAUCUACGUACAGAAGGUCAAUCCCAGCCGGCUACCGGUGGUGGUCGGGGGUCUGCUGGAUGUCGACUGCUCCGAGGACACCAUCAGGAGUCUGAUCCUCGCCGUACGAGGAGAUUUCAGCACUGAUCAGCUGGUGGAGGAAGUGGAGAAAAGAAACCGACUGAAGCUGCUCGUGUCCUGGCUGGAAUCUCGUGUUCAAGAGGGCUCUGAAGAACCCGCUACCCACAAUGCACUGGCAAAGAUCUACAUAGACAGUAACAACAAUCCUGAGCGCUUCCUCCGAGAAAACCUGCACUACGACAGCGUGACCGUGGGCCGAUACUGCGAGAAGAGAGACCCGCAACUCGCCUUUGUGGCCUAUGAGAGAGGACAGUGUGACCUGGAGCUCAUACAGGUGUGCAAUGAAAACUCCCUGUUUAAAAGUGAGUCGCGGUAUCUGGUGCGGCGAAAAGAUCCAGAUCUUUGGGCUCAAGUUCUGCAGGAGACGAACCCAUACAGACGGCCGCUGAUAGAUCAGGUGGUUCAGACGGCUCUGCCGGAGACGCAGGAUCCAGAGGAAGUGUCUGUGACGGUGAAGGCGUUUAUGACGGCCGAUCUGCCUAAUGAACUCAUUGAACUUCUGGAGAAGAUCGUUCUGGAGAACUCCAUAUUCAGUGAACACAGGAACCUGCAGAACCUGCUGAUCCUGACGGCCAUCAAAGCGGACCGGACGCGGGUCAUGGAGUACAUCAACCGGCUGGACAAUUACGACGCUCCUGACAUCGCCAACAUCGCCAUCAGCAGCGAGCUGUACGAAGAGGCCUUCUCCAUCUUCAAGAAGUUCGACGUCAACACCUCAGCGAUUCAGGUUCUGAUCGAGCACAUGGGCAAUCUGGACCGGGCGUACGAGUUUGCGGAGCGCUGUUCCGAGGGCUCGGUCUGGAGUCGGCUGGCUCAGGCUCAGCUUCAGUCUGGUCUGAUCAAAGAGGCCAUCGACUCCUACAUCAAAGCUGGAGAGCCGUCGGCGUACAUGGAGGUGGUGGAUGCUGCCAGUAGAAACGGGAACUGGGAGGAUCUGGUGAAGUUUCUUCAAAUGGCGAGGAAGAAAGCCAGAGAGUCGUUUGUGGAGACGGAGCUCAUCUUUGCUCUGGCUAAAACAAAUCGUCUGUCUGAGCUGGAGGACUUUAUCAACGGCCCCAACAAUGCUCACAUACAGCAAGUUGGCGAGAGAUGUUAUGAAGAGGGUAUGUUUGAAGCCGCCCGGCUGCUGUUUAAUAACGUGUCUAAUUUCGCUCGUCUGGCGUCCACACUCGUUCACCUCGGCGAGUUUCAGGCGGCCGUUGACAGCGCACGAAAGGCCAGCUGCACACGCACAUGGAAAGAGGUGAGAGAUGAAGACGUUAUUAAAUACAUCUCGGUAAACUAG